CGGUCUUCGAGGAGGCGCUCGGCGGUUUCGAGGAUCGCCAGUUCCCGAUCGUCGCCGGAGGGGCGGGC
Molecule: transfer RNA, 68 nt
Filed under: Mycolicibacterium duvalii
Lineage: Bacteria; Bacillati; Actinomycetota; Actinomycetes; Mycobacteriales; Mycobacteriaceae
Description: tRNA-Ser
Source: RNAcentral